Molecule: non-coding RNA, 187 nt
Filed under: Enterococcus columbae DSM 7374 = ATCC 51263
Lineage: Bacteria; Bacillati; Bacillota; Bacilli; Lactobacillales; Enterococcaceae
Description: Enterococcus sRNA 2410
Rfam family: Enterococcus sRNA 2410
About the family: Produced as 2 transcripts on Northern blot.
Source: Rfam by way of RNAcentral
UUAGCUAUUUUAGAUAGACUUGUAUUCAGCAUUAUGGAUACAAGUAGCAAUGUGAUUUGUAUCUAUAAUGGCUAGAGCUUUUUACUGUGAAUUUUAGCCAUGUAGACACCCUAGAUGGCUGAAAACUUUUGAUAUGAUUUCAUCACCAUUUAGGCAUAUUGCUUAAAUGGUUUUAUUUUUAUCUAAU